This 305-nucleotide ribosomal RNA is filed under the name uncultured bacterium. Its description in RNAcentral is "partial 16S ribosomal RNA". It matches the Rfam family "Bacterial small subunit ribosomal RNA", at positions 337 to 659 of the family's 1533-position model. The record is from RNAcentral.
CCCUACGGGGGGCAGCAGUGGGGGAUAUUGCACAAUGGGGGGAACCCUGAUGCAGCGACGCCGCGUGAAGGAAGAAGUAUCUCGGUAUGUAAACUUCUAUCAGCAGGGAAGAAAAUGACGGUACCUGACUAAGAAGCCCCGGCUAACUACGUGCCAGCAGCCGCGGUAAUACGUAGGGGGCAAGCGUUAUCCGGAUUUACUGGGUGUAAAGGGAGCGUAGACGGCGAUGCAAGUCUGAAGUGAAAGGCGGGGGCCCAACCCCCGGACUGCUUUGGACACUGUAUGGCUGGAGUGCAGGAGAGGUA